AGGCUCUCCCCAAAGCUCGGAACCAUGAGAUGAAUCGUCCCUCUGACCGGGCCUGCCUCUGAGACAUGGAAUCAAGCCGUUUGUGGAGGCCAUCAACUGAGGUGCGCAGAUCCGCAACCUCUUCUUUCAUGGAACGUAACAUUGGCCUGGUAGAUUGAGACCUGGAGAAGCCGGCCCCAGUGUGGGGGCGGCGAGAUGGUCCGGCACUAUCAACUGACCGUCUGGCUGGUGCGACGUGAGUUGGGGAAUCAUCAUCAUCAUCUAUUUCAAUUUUUUGUGGGCCUCUGCCCACUCUGAUGCGAGAAGCUCUGAAAGGUGCCUCAGGUUCCACUGUCUCGUC
This 340-nucleotide long non-coding RNA is filed under the name Nicotiana benthamiana. Its description in RNAcentral is "long non-coding RNA (NBEN_LNC011262)". The record is from RNAcentral. Lineage: Eukaryota; Viridiplantae; Streptophyta; Magnoliopsida; Solanales; Solanaceae.